ACGUGAGUAACCURCCCUUGACUCUGGGAUAAGCCCGGGAAACUGGGUCUAAUACCGGAUAGGAACGUCCACCGCAUGGUGGUUGUUGGAAAGAUUUAUCGGUCAUGGAUGGACUCGCGGCCUAUCAGCUUGUUGGUGAGGUAAUGGCUCACCAAGGCGACGACGGGUAGCCGGCCUGAGAGGGUGACCGGCCACACUGGGACUGAGACACGGCCCAGACUCCUACGGGAGGCAGCAGUGGGGAAUAUUGCACAAUGGGCGAAAGCCUGAUGCAGCGACGCCGCGUGAGGGAUGACGGCCUUCGGGUUGUAAACCUCUUUCAGUAGGGAAGAAGCGAAAGUGACGGUACCUGCAGAAGAAGCACCGGCUAACUACGUGCCAGCAGCCGCGGUAAUACGUAGGGUGCGAGCGUUAUCCGGAAUUAUUGGGCGUAAAGAGCUCGUAGGCGGUUUGUCGCGUCUGUCGUGAAAGUCCGGGGCUUAACCCCGGAUCUGCGGUGG
Molecule: ribosomal RNA, 500 nt
Filed under: Micrococcus sp. AS102
Lineage: Bacteria; Bacillati; Actinomycetota; Actinomycetes; Micrococcales; Micrococcaceae
Description: bacterial SSU rRNA
Rfam family: Bacterial small subunit ribosomal RNA
Source: RNAcentral